CCUGCACCUGCCGGCGACCCGGCGCACGGGUGAGUAACACGUAUGGAACCUGCCCGCCACAGGGGGAUAACCCGGGGAAACCCGGCCUAAUACCCCAUGCCGCCCGGACCGGGCAUCCGGUCCGGGCGAAAGGAGGAAUCCGGUGGCGGCUGGGCAUGCGGCGCAUUAGCUUGACGGCGGGGUAACGGCCCACCGUGGCAACGAUGCGUAGGGGUUCUGAGAGGAAGGCCCCCCACACUGGAACUGAGACACGGUCCAGACUCCUACGGAAGGCAGCAG
This 279-nucleotide ribosomal RNA is filed under the name uncultured bacterium. RNAcentral's name for it is "partial 16S ribosomal RNA". It matches the Rfam family "Bacterial small subunit ribosomal RNA", at positions 74 to 354 of the family's 1533-position model. The record is from RNAcentral.